GGAAAAACCGGGCCGUAAAGGACUUCACAGUCUAAGCUUGUUAUUAAGUUUUAGAUGAGGUCAUGUGAUUCAAGUUGCUGUCGACUGCUUGAUUUGCUGCAGUUUUCUGUCGUGUCUUCCUAGCAAAUCUGCUCAAGCAACAAGGUGAUACUGGGUGUUAUGGCCGCUAAGAAGUUGGAUCUAUCUAAGCUGACUGACGAGGAGGCCAAUCAUGUGUGGAAAGUCGUUCAGCGUGACUUCCACCUGAGGAAGAAAGAGGAAGACAGGCUGGGGGAUCUGAAGACCAAGAUUUGGAAAGAGGACUCAAAGCGAGAGUUGUUGUGUCGUCACCCGUGCUUGAGCGAGUCUUACUGCAUCCGCUGCAUCAAACCCUUCAAGUUUCUCGUUAACAGCAAGCGUCGAUGCCUGGACUGUCAGCUGUUCGUCUGCAAAGCCUGCAGUCGCUGGAAUAAACGACAGCGUGGCUUUGUAUGUGAUCCCUGUCACAUGACCAGGGUUCUAAAGAUUGGGACGCUGGAAUGGUACCAUGAGAACGUGCAGGCACGCUUUAAGCACUUCGGCAGCGCUAACGUGAUGCGCUCUCUUUUCAAGAGGCUGAGUGGAAAACACACAUGCUCUGCUGAUGAAGAUGAAAAACUUGGUGACUACGACACACAGAGCAACCCUGAACUUCACACAGCAGUUGGAUUUGAAGAUGCUGGCAUGGAUGUCAUUGAUUCUCAACACUACCAUCAGAUGAAAAAAAACAGAUGGCGUCUGACUGUUAAUCCCAUUGAUAUCGGUGACCUUUGUGACGUCAGAGCAAGACAAUUUAAUCAGGAUCAAAGUACAAGUGAAGACUUCAACAUGGAUGUUGGGUCUGAUGGUGGAUUGCCUUCACAACAAGAAGAUGCUGUGUACUCAGACCAGCCAAGUGUUGCAUCUCGCUCCACGUCACGCCUCAGCUGCUCUACAUGUGGAAGUGCAGGAUUUCUUCAGAACAGAACUUUCUACACUUUGGGUCCUGAUGACUACGAGUGUGACUUUGAUCUCAGACAGUCCGAUGCCGUCUACUCGUCUCAAGAAUUUCAACACACCUCCCAGGACAGCCUCAACAACCCCAACCCUCACCCACCACAGAUGAAUGAGUUGGUCAGGCAGAUGUCAGCUGUUGAGAUGCUUUUGAACCGCUUGCAGGUCACCUUGACAUUUCAUCAGACCAGUGAAGCUUCUCAGGUUCCAGACCGAGCUUCUUCUCCUCACGAGUGGGAAGAGGUGGAAAUGGAGGAGCAUCAACUUCGACAAAAACUGAAAGAGAUGACGGGCGACAUCAGCGACCGUAGUCUGAGUUGUGAUGAGGACGAGGCCAAGUUGCAAGAGGAGGUAGUAGCACAGGAAGACACAACUCUCACAUCUUCAAGGAGCAGCAUUGUGGUCUCCAACCCUCAGAAGAGAAACUCUUCUAUUGAAAGCCUUAAAAAUAAAAGUCACUUGCCUGAUGACGAGUCCAAGUCCAACUUCAAAAGUUCUACAGCUUUACUGUUUGAGCUGGAAGACAAGAUAGCCCAAGCUGCUGCUGAUGUGCAGAAUACUCAGACUCAGGUGUCUUACAUUGAGAACAGGAUGGCUGCUCUCAAUUCUGCUGGACUGCCGCUGGACAACAAACUAAAGAGCUGAUCUACAUGAGAAGAUCGUGUCUCUAAAUCUGGAAUCCAAACCAGAAGACUUUCCCAGAACUUUCCCACAAGAGGAAAUCAUGACACAAAACUCGGAAAGAGGAGACUCAGCUUGAUGUGAAACACCCAACGCUGUAACUAUUUACUGUACAUAAAUCAAAACAUACAUUAAAACUACUGUUUACUUGUUUAA
This is an RNA transcript of Nerophis ophidion (straightnose pipefish), 1848 nucleotides long. It is a transcript of the gene named melanophilin b, with no coding region annotated. The transcript has 16 exons. The record is from RefSeq and is a predicted model, not a curated record. Lineage: Eukaryota; Metazoa; Chordata; Actinopteri; Syngnathiformes; Syngnathidae.